GAUGAACGCUGGCGGCGUGCUUAACACAUGCAAGUCGAACGGUGAAGGCGGAGCUUGCUCUGCUGGAUCAGUGGCGAACGGGUGAGUAACACGUGAGCAAUCUGCCCCUGACUCUGGGAUAAGCGCUGGAAACGGCGUCUAAUACUGGAUACGAGCUGCGAAGGCAUCUUCAGCAGCUGUGAAGAACUUCGGUCAGGGAUGAGCUCGCGGCCUAUCAGCUUGUUGGUGAGGUAACGGCUCACCAAGGCGUCGACGGGUAGCCGGCCUGAGAGGGUGACCGGCGACACUGGGACUGAGACACGGCCCAGACUCCUACGGGAGGCAGCAGUGGGGAAUAUUGCACAAUGGGCGAAAGCCUGAUGCAGCAACGCCGCGUGAGGGAAGACGGGCUGCGGGUUGUAAACCUAUUUUAGCAGGGAAGAAGAGAAAGUGACGGUACCUGCAGAAAAAGCGCCGGCUAACUACGUG
RNAcentral lists this ribosomal RNA (468 nucleotides) under uncultured bacterium. RNAcentral's name for it is "partial 16S ribosomal RNA". It matches the Rfam family "Bacterial small subunit ribosomal RNA", at positions 28 to 507 of the family's 1533-position model. The record is from RNAcentral.